CGAGUAAGCAGGGCAGUCGCGGGGACAAGGCCGCGAGGCUGUUCCCGAGGAAAGUCCGAGCUCCGCAGGGCAGGGUGCUGGGUAACGCCCAGUGGGGGCGACCCUAAGGCCAGUGCCACAGAAAAUAUACCGCCCGGCACUCAACUCUGACAAACAAUCGGUUCUUCCUGUUGCACAAUAUUGAAAAAAAAUAAUGACGUGCAAUCUGGAGUGAAAGUUUUUUGUUAGAGUUGAGUGCCGGGCAAGGGUGCAACGGUGCGGUAAGAGCGCACCAGGGGCCGGGAGACCGGUUCGCUAGGUAAACCCCACCCGGAGCAAGACCAAGUAGGAGGAGGAUGAGGUUGCCCGCCGACUCCUCGGGUUUGGUCGCUGGAGGCGCCAGGCGACUGGCGUCCAAGAUAGAUGGCUGCCAAAAACAGAACUCGGCUUACCAGCUUGCUCGGGAC
This 446-nucleotide RNase P RNA is filed under the name Bacillota bacterium. Its description in RNAcentral is "Firmicutes bacterium (anaerobic digester metagenome) RNase P RNA component class A". It matches the Rfam family "Bacterial RNase P class A". From Rfam's summary of the family: Ribonuclease P (RNase P) is a ubiquitous endoribonuclease, found in archaea, bacteria and eukarya as well as chloroplasts and mitochondria. RNAcentral also lists the same sequence under 1 other name. Lineage: Bacteria; Bacillati; Bacillota. The record is from RNAcentral.